This 443-nucleotide ribosomal RNA is filed under the name uncultured bacterium. RNAcentral describes it as "partial 16S ribosomal RNA". It matches the Rfam family "Bacterial small subunit ribosomal RNA", at positions 338 to 795 of the family's 1533-position model. The record is from RNAcentral.
CCUACGGGUGGCAGCAGUGGGGAAUAUUGGGCAAUGGGCGCAAGUCUGACCCAGCAACGCCGCGUGAAUGAUGAAGGCCUUCGGGUUGUAAAGUUCUUUUAUCGGGGACGAAGACAUUGACGGUACCUCAAGAAUAAGCCACGGCUAACUACGUGCCAGCAGCCGCGGUAAUACGUAGGUGGCAAGCGUUAUCCGGAGUGACUGGGAGUAAAGGGCGAGUAGGCGGGUUAGAAAGUGGGAUGUGAAAAUUCGGGGCUCAACCUUGGCCCUGCAGUUGAAACUGUGAUGCUUGAGUGCUGGAGGGGCAAGUGGAAUUCCGGGUGUAGCGGUGGAAUGCGUAGAUAUACGGAGGAACACCAGUGGCGAAGGCGAAUUACUGGACAGUAACUGACGCUGAGGCGCGAAAGCGUGGGGAGCAAACAGGAUUAGAUACCCGUGUAGUC